This 486-nucleotide ribosomal RNA is filed under the name uncultured bacterium. RNAcentral describes it as "partial 16S ribosomal RNA". It matches the Rfam family "Bacterial small subunit ribosomal RNA", at positions 28 to 507 of the family's 1533-position model. The record is from RNAcentral.
GAUGAACGCUGGCGGCGUGCCUAAUACAUGCAAGUCGAACGCUGGAAAUCUAGCUUGCUAGAUUGAAGGAGUGGCGAACGGGUGAGUAAUACAUAAGCAACCUACCCACGAAGACUGGGAUAAUCUCUGGAAACGGGGACUAAUACCGGAUAGGUAAUCGGAAGGCAUCUUCUGAUUAUUAAAGGUUAAAACCACUGGUGGAUGGGCUUAUGGCGCAUUAGUUGGUUGGUGAGGUAACGGCCCACCAAGACGAUGAUGCGUAGCCGGCAUGAGAGGGUGAACGGCCACAUUGGGACUGAGACACGGCCCAGACUCCGACGGGAGGCAGCAGUAGGGAAUUUUCGGCAAUGGGGGAAACCCUGACCGAGCAACGCCGCGUGAGUGAUGACGGCCUUCGGGUUGUAAAGCUCUGUUGUAAGGGAAGAACGGUAGAUAGAGAAUAUCUAAAUGACGGUACCUUAACAGAAAGCCACGGCUAACUACGUG